AAUCUUACCGGGUCCGGACACACUAAGGAUUGACAGGUAAAGUAAUCAAUUCUUCUUUUAUGAAGAUUGGUUCUGCAAAUAUGCUAGUCCUUUCAUGAUUGUGUGAUAGGUGGUGCAUGGCCGUUCUUAGUUCGUGGAAUAAUCUGUCUGCUUAAUUGCGUUAAUAUAUGGUGNCNAUGUGUCUGAUAAACCCUCAGUUUGGAUGUUUCACCUUUAGGGGUGAUAUUCCAUUCAGAGGCUGGACCUUGACACUCUAUGAAACGAACGUGACCUCAACCUCUUGUUAGCAGAUGUCAUUUGAUAUAAUUUUAUAAUUUAUCAGAAAGGAUUCGGCAUACGAGGGGGAUUGCCAAGUUGAAAGUGGAUGAAAGUUGAGGCAAUAACAGGUCUGUG
RNAcentral lists this ribosomal RNA (393 nucleotides) under Hippocrepinella sp. Its description in RNAcentral is "SSU rRNA". It matches the Rfam family "Eukaryotic small subunit ribosomal RNA", at positions 1211 to 1466 of the family's 1831-position model. Lineage: Eukaryota; Foraminifera; Astrorhizida; Saccamminidae. The record is from RNAcentral.